GACGAACGCUGGCGGCGUGCUUAACACAUGCAAGUCGAACGGAAAGGCCCUGCUUUUGUGGGGUGCUCGAGUGGCGAACGGGUGAGUAACACGUGAGUAACCUGCCCUUGACUUUGGGAUAACUUCAGGAAACUGGGGCUAAUACCGGAUAGGAGCUCCUGCUGCAUGGUGGGGGUUGGAAAGUUUCGGCGGUUGGGGAUGGACUCGCGGCUUAUCAGCUUGUUGGUGGGGUAGUGGCUUACCAAGGCUUUGACGGGUAGCCGGCCUGAGAGGGUGACCGGCCACAUUGGGGCUGAGAUACGGCCCAGACUCCUACGGGAGGCAGCAGUGGGGAAUAUUGCACAAUGGGCGGAAGCCUGAUGCAGCAACGCCGCGUGCGGGAUGACGGCCUUCGGGUUGUAAACCGCCUUCGCCUGUGACGAAGCGUGAGUGACGGUAAUGGGUAAAGAAGCACCGGCUAACUACGUG
RNAcentral lists this ribosomal RNA (468 nucleotides) under uncultured bacterium. RNAcentral describes it as "partial 16S ribosomal RNA". It matches the Rfam family "Bacterial small subunit ribosomal RNA", at positions 28 to 507 of the family's 1533-position model. The record is from RNAcentral.